Molecule: ribosomal RNA, 893 nt
Filed under: uncultured archaeon
Lineage: Archaea
Description: bacterial SSU rRNA
Rfam family: Archaeal small subunit ribosomal RNA
Source: RNAcentral
CUGACUGCUAUCGGAUUGGUACUAAGCCAUGUGAGUCAUGUAGCAAUACAAGGCAUACGCUCAGUAACACGUAGUCAAUCUGCCCUAUGAACGUGGAUAACCUCGGGAAACUGAGAAUAAUCCGCGAUAGAUCAUAAUGCCUGGAACGGUUUAUGGUCCAAAUGAUUCGUCGCCAUAGGAUGGGACUGCGGCCUAUCAGCUUGUUGGUGAGGUAAUGGCCCACCAAGGCUAUUACAGGUACGGGCUCUGAGAGGAGAAGCCCGGAGAUGGGUACUGAGACACGGACCCAGGCCCUAUGGGGCGCAGCAGGCGAGAAACCUUUGCAAUGUGCGCAAGCACGACAAGGUUAAUCCGAGUGUUUCCUGCUAAAGGAAUCUUUUGUUAGUUCUAAAACCACUGAUGAAUAAGGGGUGGGCAAGUUCUGGUGUCAGCCGCCGCGGUAAAACCAGCACCUCAAGUGGUCAGGAGGAUUAUUGGGCCUAAAGCAUCCGUAGCCGGUUCUGUACGUUUCCGGUUAAAUCCACUAGCUCAACUAAUGGGCUGCCGGAAAUACUGCAGAACUAGGGAGUGGGAGAGGUAGACGGUACUCGGGAGGAAGGGGUAAAAUCCUUUGAUCUCUUGAUGACCACCUGUGGCGAAGGCGGUCUACCAGAACACGUUCGACGGUGAGGGAUGAAAGCUGGGGGAGCAAACCGGAUUAGAUACCCGGGUAGUCCCAGCUGUAAACGAUGCAGACUCGGUGAUGCACUGGCUUUUGGCCAGUGCAGUGCCGCAGGGAAGCCGUUAAGUUUGCCGCCUGGGAAGUACGUACGCAAGUAUGAAACUUAAAGGAAUUGGCGGGGGAGCACCACAAGGGGUGAGGCCUGCGGUUCAAUUGGAGUCAACGCCGGAAA